UACGGGGGGGGCAAGCGUUGUUCGGAAUUACUGGGCGUAAAGGGCUCGUAGGCGGCCAACUAAGUCAGACGUGAAAUCCCUCGGCUUAACCGGGGAACUGCGUCUGAUACUGGAUGGCUUGAGUUUGGGAGAGGGAUGCGGAAUUCCAGGUGUAGCGGUGAAAUGCGCAGAUAUCAGGAGGAACACCAAUUGCGAAGGCAGCUCGCUGGGACGCUACUGACGCUGAGACGCGAAAGCGUGGGGAGCAAACAGG
This 253-nucleotide ribosomal RNA is filed under the name uncultured bacterium. RNAcentral's name for it is "partial 16S ribosomal RNA". It matches the Rfam family "Bacterial small subunit ribosomal RNA", at positions 524 to 776 of the family's 1533-position model. The record is from RNAcentral.